GAUGAACGCUAGCGGCAGGCCUAAUACAUGCAAGUCGAACGGUAAGGCCCUUUCGGGGGUACACGAGUGGCGGACGGGUGCGUAACGCGUAUGCAACAUGCCUUCCAGCGGGGGAUAUACCAGGGGAAACUUGGCGCAAUACCCCAUAGAAUUACGGGACCGCAUGGUCUUGUGAUUAAAACUCCGGUGCUGGGAGAUUGGCAUGGCGUGACAUUAGCUAGUUGGCGGGGUAACGCCCACCAAGGCGACGAUGUCUAGCUGGUCUGAGAGGAUGAUCAGCCACACUGGGACUGAGACACGGCCCAGACUCCUACGGGAGCAGCAGUA
RNAcentral lists this ribosomal RNA (327 nucleotides) under uncultured bacterium. Its description in RNAcentral is "bacterial SSU rRNA". It matches the Rfam family "Bacterial small subunit ribosomal RNA", at positions 28 to 356 of the family's 1533-position model. The record is from RNAcentral.